GACGAACGCUGGCGGCGUGCUUAACACAUGCAAGUCGAACGGAAAGGCUCCAGCUUGCUGGCGUACUCGAGUGGCGAACGGGUGAGUAACACGUGGGUAAUCUGCCCUGCACUCUGGGAUAAGCCUGGGAAACUGGGUCUAAUACUGGAUAUGACCUUUCUCCUUAUGGGGUUGGGUGGAAAGUUUUUCGGUGUAGGAUGAGCCCGCGGCCUAUCAGCUUGUUGGUGGGGUGAUGGCCUACCAAGGCGACGACGGGUAGCCGGCCUGAGAGGGUGAUCGGCCACAUUGGGACUGAGAUACGGCCCAGACUCCUACGGGAGGCAGCAGUGGGGAAUAUUGCACAAUGGGCGGAAGCCUGAUGCAGCGACGCCGCGUGAGGGAUGACGGCCUUCGGGUUGUAAACCUCUUUCAGCAGGGACGAAGCGUAAGUGACGGUACCUGCAGAAGAAGCACCGGCUAACUAUGUG
Molecule: ribosomal RNA, 467 nt
Filed under: uncultured bacterium
Lineage: Bacteria
Description: partial 16S ribosomal RNA
Rfam family: Bacterial small subunit ribosomal RNA
Source: RNAcentral